AAAAUAAUUAAUAAUAGAAAAAGGAAAAGUUUGGAUAUAAAAUGUGCCUUUGAUGAAAAGAAUUGAAUACUUUUAUAUACUAUAUAUUCGCGUUAAUACAAUUUAGGUAUUUUCAAUAUACCAAUUUCUACAUUGAAAUUUUAAUAACAAUAGGAGAAAGAAAAAAGCAAGGAAGACAAAAAAAAAAUACAACUUUGACUUUUUAUAAAAGUACAUUGUGCUAAAUACAACAUUGAAGAAAUUAAA
Molecule: long non-coding RNA, 246 nt
Organism: Polistes dominula (European paper wasp)
Lineage: Eukaryota; Metazoa; Arthropoda; Insecta; Hymenoptera; Vespidae
Gene: omd
Source: RefSeq, a predicted model, not a curated record